UUCUCGUAUAAACUACUCGGGGGUUACUCUAAAGCUAAAAGUUCGAGGGAUUUGUAUAAUAGGUACUUAUCCUGAUCUAACAUGUUGAGGUUCUCAGAGCGUUGUUACGGUAAUGAUUUUGUUUUGAUUUCACUCAAAUUUUAUAAAGUAAGCGACCUUUAUACUUAUUGGGUGUGUUAAAUUUUUUUUUUUUUUUUGAUAUGGCUCAAGAAAAUUGAGGGAAUAGAUAAUAG
This 233-nucleotide long non-coding RNA is filed under the name Lathyrus oleraceus (garden pea). RNAcentral describes it as "Pisum sativum (pea) long non-coding RNA (PSAT_LNC011406)". The record is from RNAcentral. Lineage: Eukaryota; Viridiplantae; Streptophyta; Magnoliopsida; Fabales; Fabaceae.